CGGACGGGUGAGUAACGCGUGGGUAACCUGCCUUGUACUGGGGGACAACAGUUAGAAAUGACUGCUAAUACCGCAUAAGCGCACAGUGUCGCAUGAUACAGUGUGAAAAACUCCGGUGGUACAAGAUGGACCCGCGUCUGAUUAGCUAGUUGGUAAGGUAACGGCUUACCAAGGCGACGAUCAGUAGCCGACCUGAGAGGGUGACCGGCCACAUUGGGACUGAGACACGGCCCAA
Molecule: ribosomal RNA, 235 nt
Filed under: uncultured bacterium
Lineage: Bacteria
Description: partial 16S ribosomal RNA
Rfam family: Bacterial small subunit ribosomal RNA
Source: RNAcentral